Molecule: ribosomal RNA, 497 nt
Filed under: uncultured bacterium
Lineage: Bacteria
Description: partial 16S ribosomal RNA
Rfam family: Bacterial small subunit ribosomal RNA
Source: RNAcentral
GAUGAACGCUGGCGGCGUGCCUAAUACAUGCAAGUCGAGCGAACGGACGAGAAGCUUGCUUCUCUGAUGUUAGCGGCGGACGGGUGAGUAACACGUGGAUAACCUACCUAUAAGACUAGGAUAACUUCGGGAAACCGGAGCUAAUACCGGAUGAUAUUUUGAACCGCAUGGUUCAAAAGUGAAAGACGGUCUUGCUGUCACUUAUAGAUGGAUCCGCGCUGCAUUAGCUAGUUGGUAAGGUAACGGCUUACCAAGGCAACGAUGCAUAGCCGACCUGAGAGGGUGAUCGGCCACACUGGAACUGAGACACGGUCCAGACUCCUACGGGAGGCAGCAGUAGGGAAUCUUCCGCAAUGGGCGAAAGCCUGACGGAGCAACGCCGCGUGAGUGAUGAAGGUCUUCGGAUCGUAAAACUCUGUUAUUAGGGAAGAACAUAUGUGUAAGUAACUGUGCACAUCUUGACGGUACCUAAUCAGAAAGCCACGGCUAACUACGUG